This 484-nucleotide ribosomal RNA is filed under the name uncultured bacterium. Its description in RNAcentral is "partial 16S ribosomal RNA". It matches the Rfam family "Bacterial small subunit ribosomal RNA", at positions 30 to 507 of the family's 1533-position model. The record is from RNAcentral.
AUUGAACGCUGGCGGCAGGCCUAACACAUGCAAGUCGAGCGGAUGAAGGGAGCUUGCUCCUGGAUUCAGCGGCGGACGGGUGAGUAAUGCCUAGGAAUCUGCCUGUUAGUGGGGGAUAACGUCCGGACACGGGCGCUAAUACCGCAUACGUCCUGAGGGAGAAAGUGGGGGAUCUUCGGACCUCACGCUAUCAGAUGAGCCUAGGUCGGAUUAGCUAGUUGGUGGGGUAAAGGCCUACCAAGGCGACGAUCCGUAACUGGUCUGAGAGGAUGAUCAGUCACACUGGAACUGAGACACGGUCCAGACUCCUACGGGAGGCAGCAGUGGGGAAUAUUGGACAAAGGGCGAAAGCCUGAUCCAGCCAUGCCGCGUGUGUGAAGAAGGUCUUCGGAUUGUAAAGCACUUUAAGUUGGGAGGAAGGGCAGUAAGUUAAUACCUUGCUGUUUUGACGUUACCAACAGAAUAAGCACCGGCUAACUUCGUG